Monopterus albus (swamp eel) is the source of this 334-nucleotide long non-coding RNA. RefSeq lists it as uncharacterized. The record is from RefSeq and is a predicted model, not a curated record. The transcript has 4 exons. Lineage: Eukaryota; Metazoa; Chordata; Actinopteri; Synbranchiformes; Synbranchidae.
UCGUUUCACUCUGUUUAGGCUCGGAGGAACCGUGAGAUCGCCAUCCUACAGAGGAAGAUCGACGAGGUGCCAAGCCGGGCCGAGUUAACCCAGUAUCAGAAGAGGUUCAUCGAGCUCUACAGCCAAGUUUCUGCAACGCACAAAGAGACCAAGCAGUUCUUCACUCUGUAUAACACAUUAGAUGACAAGAAGGUUUAUUUAGAGAAAGAAGUCAAUCUGCUGAAUUCCAUUCACGACAACUUCCAGCAGGCCAUGUCGUCUUCAGCAGCCAAGGAGCAGUUCCUUAGACAGAUGGAGCAAAUAGUGGAGGGAAUCAAACAGAGCCGCAUAAAGG